UCCAGGUUAUAAAAAUGUUUAUUCCAAGUUAUGAGUAAGUAUAUUCUAAGGAAGGUUACAAGUAAGUAUAUUACAAGUUUUAUGCCACAAUAUUCUAGGGUAGGUUUUAAGUAAAUAUAUUCCAAGGAAUGUCACAAGUAAGUAUAUUCCAAGUUAUAAAAAAGUUUAUUCCAAGUUAUGAGUAAGUAUAUUCCAAGGAAUGUCACAAGUAAGUAUAUUCCAAGUUAUAAUUAAGUAUAUUCAAAGGAAGGUGAUAAGUAAGCAUAUUACAAGUUUUAAGUAGCUUAUUAUAUGGGUAAGUUUAUUCCAAGUUAUAAGUAAGUAUAUUCCAAAUUAUAAGUAAGUUUUUUCCAAGUCAUAUACCAAGUUAUAAGUAAGUAUAUUCCAAGUUAAAAGUAAGAACACAUUUCGUAUUUUAAAAACGCUUCUUUCUCAAGCUUUAUCGACAUAAAAAACAAUUCCUAGACACAUGUUGGUCUGUGAACAUCCUGAAAUACAGCGUAGUUUAUCACUGAAGAUUUCAAUAUUCGUGGAUGUUUCGGAACCUCUGAAUUAAAAACGCAGUGAGAAUAUAUCCCAAUUGUUUCACUCACGUCUGAAUAUACUUUAAUUGAAUCAAAAUAUAAGCCAGGAUAUUAUUUGAAGGUUUGUAGAAAGUGAAGUGUUUCUUUAAGGGCGCAUCGGCCGAUCAUCCGAGCAGCCUAUAAACCCUAAUUGAUGUGAAAUAUUAAAAUAUACACAGUUGACCAGACCAUUCGAUUCAAAUUAUUUGAUGUUAUGUAUCGAAUAAAAAGUGGUUGUCCGA
Haliotis rufescens (red abalone) is the source of this 805-nucleotide long non-coding RNA. RefSeq lists it as uncharacterized. The record is from RefSeq and is a predicted model, not a curated record. The transcript has 2 exons. Lineage: Eukaryota; Metazoa; Mollusca; Gastropoda; Lepetellida; Haliotidae.